Molecule: transfer RNA, 66 nt
Filed under: Phyllidia elegans
Lineage: Eukaryota; Metazoa; Mollusca; Gastropoda; Nudibranchia; Phyllidiidae
Description: tRNA-Leu
Source: RNAcentral
UAUAAAAUGGCAGAAAUUAAUGCAUAAGCUUUAAGCGCUUAUUAUGACUAAUAAAGUCUUUUAUAA